GGGGGCGAGCGUUGCCCGGAUUUAUUGGGCGUAAAGCGUGCGUAGGCGGCUGCGCAAGUCGGUUGUGAAACCCCGGGGCUCAACCCCGGAACUGCAUCCGAUACUGCGUGGCUAGAGGUAGGUAGGGGAGAUCGGAAUUCCUGGUGUAGCGGUGAAAUGCGCAGAUAUCAGGAGGAACACCGGUGGCGAAGGCGGGUCUCUGGGCCGAAACUGACGCUGAGGAGCGAAAGCGUGGGGAGCAAACAGG
RNAcentral lists this ribosomal RNA (247 nucleotides) under uncultured bacterium. RNAcentral's name for it is "partial 16S ribosomal RNA". It matches the Rfam family "Bacterial small subunit ribosomal RNA", at positions 530 to 776 of the family's 1533-position model. The record is from RNAcentral.